This 465-nucleotide ribosomal RNA is filed under the name uncultured bacterium. RNAcentral describes it as "partial 16S ribosomal RNA". It matches the Rfam family "Bacterial small subunit ribosomal RNA", at positions 28 to 507 of the family's 1533-position model. The record is from RNAcentral.
GACGAACGCUGGCGGCGUGCUUAACACAUGCAAGUCGAACGGAAAGGCCCCUUCGGGGGUACUCGAGUGGCGAACGGGUGAGUAACACGUGAGUAACCUGCCCUUGCCUUCGGGAUAACUUCAGGAAACUGGGGCUAAUACCGGAUAGGAAUCCUUGCUGCAUGGUGGGGGUUGGAAAGCUUCGGCGGUUUUGGAUGGACUCGCGGCUUAUCAGCUUGUUGGUGGGGUAGUGGCUUACCAAGGCUUUGACGGGUAGCCGGCCUGAGAGGGCGACCGGCCACAUUGGGACUGAGAGACGGCCCAGACGCCUACGGGAGGCAGCAGUGGGGAAGAUUGCACAAUGGGCGGAAGCCUGAUGCAGCAACGCCGCGGGCGGGAGGACGGCCUUCGGGUUGUAAACCGCUUUCAGCAGGGGCGAAGCUUGUGGUGACGGUACCUGCAGAAGAAGCACCGGCUAACUACGUG